This 1833-nucleotide long non-coding RNA is filed under the name Portunus trituberculatus (swimming crab). RNAcentral describes it as "uncharacterized LOC123499627". Lineage: Eukaryota; Metazoa; Arthropoda; Malacostraca; Decapoda; Portunidae. The record is from RNAcentral.
CCAGCUGAUGCUAAAAUCUUGAAUUUUCAUUUAGCUAUAAAUAUCUUAAUAUCAAAAAAUGUUAAUGGCAUUAAAUGACUUGGUGAUUGCCUCCCAAACUAAAUUUUUCUUGUGAAGGCUAGCUGGGUUUGUUGAGCAGUCUUGCAAGUCUUUAUUCUCUUUCACAAGAUAGAGAAUCAUUAUUUUCUGCUCGUGCGUGAGUGGCGGGGCCCGGUCACAGCUUCUUCCCUCCAUUCUUGCAGCACGCACUGUGGUUUUGUUGUCAUUCGUGGAACUCAAAUCCAGAUUACAGUCAUACCAAUACCGAAACAACUGUUACCAACUCAUGCUAGCGGCAGACCUCUCGCGGCCCUACCUUCCACGGCGACUCUUGGUACGGAUUGAAGAUCAUGGAUCCACUGGUAGACCUUCCAGGAAUUUGAUCUGUUCGAGGAAUUAGAAGCAGUAAGGAUGAGGCUGCCAAGAAGAAUAGUGAAAGACCAUUUGGAUUUGUUCCUAACCCUGACUGAAGAGGAGUUCACCUCCAGGUUCAGGCCAUGCAAACAGGCUGUGAGAUCCCUGCUCACUCAGCUAUACAUUUACCAGAGGCCAAUGAUUCAAGAGAGAGGCGCAGGGUAACGUUAACACGUACCAUCCCUUCCCCCUUGAUGCGGGCUUUUCACGGAAAGGUUGGUACAUCGGAAGGUGUAUAGUGCGCUUCGCGUUCUUCACUCCAGCACACUGUGUUUACAUUUGAGAGCAGACACGCAGACCACUACUAGAAUUAUCGUCUCAAUAAUUCACCAGGGUGUCCUGUGCCACCUCACCUCCAACUCCUCAUCACCUUAAGAUGGAUGGCAACGGGUGAUUUGUAGCUUACAAUCGGUUAUGCUUUUGAAGUUUCGCAGCAGUUUGUAAGCGCAUGCUUUUCACGUACUGUACAUGCCAUUGCUACUUUAUGUGAGCAGUAUGUACAAUUUCCUGAUUGGCAUCACCUGAGGUCUGUCAAAGAAAACUUUAAUGCCAUAGCAGGUUUCUCUUCUGUAAUUGGUGCUAUAGCCUGCACCCACAUUCCAAUUAUGGGUCCAGGUGAUCCUCAGGCAGAGCAAUUUAGGUGCAGAAAGGCAAUCUUUUCAUUAAAUGUACAAGCUGUGUGUGGUUCGGACUUGAAUUUGUAUAACAUAGUUUGUCGCUGGCUUGGAUCAGUGCAUGACAGCAGAACAUUUAGGAAUAGUGCCCAGUAUGCUCAACUACAAGGUGGUGGUUAUGAUGGCCACCUGUUAAGGGACUCUACAUACCCAUUUUGCCCUUUCUAAUGACUCCAAUUCCGAUUCCCAGACAACAAAAUGAGUUUAGAUACAAUUUAGCUCAUGCAAAAACCCGUAAUUCCAUAGAAAGAGCAUUUGGAGUUUUGAAACGCAGAUUCUGUUGCUUGUCCAUUCCUAUGCGGACAAAUAUGGAUAAAACCACAGCCACAGUUUGUAGUGCAGCAGUUUUGCACAAUCUUGGAAUUAAUUUUAGGGAUGGAUAUGAAAAUUUGGAGGACAAUGAUGAUGGUGAUGAUGGUUGUAUAGAGAAUGAAUAUGAAGAUGUAAUUCAUGAUGUGCAAAAUAGGCAGGCUGGACAAAGAAAGAGGGCUAACAUAAUCAGUAGUGUCUUUUGAGAUUAUAAAUUUAGAUUUGAGAUCUAUAAUUUUAAAGUUGAAAAAGUAAGUUUUCAAGAAAUGGCCCAUAAAGAUUUCUCCCAUUGCUGUGAAAAUGUAUCUCACUGGAGUGAAGAUAUUUUAAUUUAAUUUUUUUUUUUUCAGGACGUGAAAGCACAUCUGUUAUAGUUUUGCAAUAUUAGUAGUGUAAU